GUAUAAGAGACAGGUGAAUCAUCGAAUCUUUGAACGCACAUUGCGCCCCUUGGUAUUCCAUGGGGCAUGCCUGUUCGAGCGUCAUUUGUACCCUCAAGCUCUGCUUGGUGUUGGGUGUUUGUCCACUCCCUGGUGUUUGGACUCGCCUUAAAGCAAUUGGCAGCCAGUGUUUUGGUAUUGAAGCGCAGCACAUUUUGCGAUUCUAGCCUGAAAUACUAGCAUCCAGCAAGUCAUUUUUCACUUUUGACCUCGGAUCAGGUAGGGAUACCCGCUGAACUUAAGCAUAUCAAUAAGCGGAGG
Molecule: unclassified non-coding RNA, 300 nt
Filed under: uncultured Phaeosphaeriaceae
Lineage: Eukaryota; Fungi; Ascomycota; Dothideomycetes; Pleosporales; Phaeosphaeriaceae
Description: sequence contains 5.8S rRNA gene, ITS2
Rfam family: 5.8S ribosomal RNA (bases 1-84)
Source: RNAcentral